Mastomys coucha (southern multimammate mouse) is the source of this 590-nucleotide long non-coding RNA. RefSeq lists it as uncharacterized. NCBI's taxonomy places the organism in Eukaryota, Metazoa, Chordata, Mammalia, Rodentia, Muridae. The transcript has 3 exons. The record is from RefSeq and is a predicted model, not a curated record.
AGAUAAAGGCCUCCUGAACAAGGUGAGGCAGCUGCCAGAAAGAAUCAGAAGAACCAAGGAACAUGAACCUGUCACCACAUGGUCCCUGAUAUGUCCCUAGGAAAUCAUUCUGAACUUCUGGGCAUCCUGACCUUCCAGAAGCAUCUUCACCAAAACAGAAACCAGUACAGCAAGAACAAAACCAUCUCGAGUGUGUAGCAUAUCAUGGCAUCUGACUCUCCCGCUCCUACCGUGAAGACUGAAGCAAAUUUUUCUCAGAUCCCAGUUUCACCUCCCAGCAGAACCCAGGAUCUCUGAGAUCCUUAGAUUUUUUCCACUUUCUCCUGGGCAUGAGAGUCUGUGGAGGCCACUCAUUCUCUCUCCAAUGUCAUGAGGUGGAUCAGUAUGCAAAUUUCUAAACUAAGCCUGGGAUAGCUUCCUGCAGCUUGGGAGGGGCGGACCCACCCACCGGAUUGGCCAUAUGUUCUCUGAAGACUUCCAUGCCUUGAAGUAUGGAACGUGCAGGUGAGCUAUGGCUGGCCCUUCAUAUCUUCCUUCCAUGCCUUCAACUACUGUGGGCUGGCCCUCCUGAUUGUCUUCCUCCAACCCAC